CCAGGGAUGUCUACCUCCCUCCAGCCGAUGGACUAUGGAGGCUCAUGCCACAAGGGGAGAGUUUUGAAGGCGGGCACUGGCUUCGUAAUGUGCCCGUUCCACUGGACGAGGCGUAUUCCUGAAAUUACUAGCAGAUUUGCAGCACAUGUGUACGACAAAAGCCUGCUUGAUUGCUCGAAAUUGUGAAUACGUUGAAUGUGGCGCAGUUUUGAUGUCCUGCUGGUCUCCUUACGAACAAAGCAACAAAAAAGUACAAAAUAAUUAUAAUCACUCGAAAUCACCGACCAAUAACAUUUUGAAGAAAUAUCAGCCACUGUUUUAGUACAAACAAGCUGUUUUUUCGUUUUUAUUAAGAUGAAAACCAAGUAUAAAGUAGAAUGAUGAUAAUGAUGUGCAGACGUCCCUGUCACAUUUGGUACAUUAAUAUGGAAAUAUUCAUCAGCAUAAAAUCCAAAAUGAUGAAAUUGCUCCCAUUCGCUUCUAGACAGGAAGUGGAACGUCAUCAAAGCACGCAAAUAAAGCUGUGCCUCAUGUAUUCAAGUCAUGGGGGAGAACACAUU
This is a long non-coding RNA of Acanthaster planci (crown-of-thorns starfish), 560 nucleotides long. The record is from RefSeq and is a predicted model, not a curated record. NCBI's taxonomy places the organism in Eukaryota, Metazoa, Echinodermata, Asteroidea, Valvatida, Acanthasteridae.